RNAcentral lists this long non-coding RNA (210 nucleotides) under Gallus gallus (chicken). RNAcentral's name for it is "long non-coding RNA NONGGAT003584". Lineage: Eukaryota; Metazoa; Chordata; Aves; Galliformes; Phasianidae. The record is from RNAcentral.
GCCCAACGUCCUCACCAGCAGCCACCUGCGCAGCAGCAAUGGCACCUACAGCUUCUCCAGGUUCUUCCUGCUGACAGCAACCCUACGUGACAAUGGCCACACCUACACGUGCCGCGUGGAGCACUCCAGCCUGCAGGCACCCAUCCGGAGGAGCAUCACCGUGGCAGUGAGAGAAGCAACCUCCACCACCUGGCUGCUGCUGCUGCUGCU